This 427-nucleotide ribosomal RNA is filed under the name Escherichia coli. RNAcentral's name for it is "bacterial SSU rRNA". It matches the Rfam family "Bacterial small subunit ribosomal RNA", at positions 229 to 648 of the family's 1533-position model. Lineage: Bacteria; Pseudomonadati; Pseudomonadota; Gammaproteobacteria; Enterobacterales; Enterobacteriaceae. The record is from RNAcentral.
GCCCAGAUGGGAUUAGCUAGUAGGUGGGGUAAAGGCUCACCUAGGCGACGAUCCCUAGCUGGUCUGAGAGGAUGACCAGCCACACUGGAACUGAGACACGGUCCAGACUCCUACGGGAGGCAGCAGUGGGGAAUAUUGCACAAUGGGCGCAAGCCUGAUGCAGCCAUGCCGCGUGUAUGAAGAAGGCCUUCGGGUUGUAAAGUACUUUCAGCGGGGAGGAAGGGAGUAAAGUUAAUACCUUUGCUCAUUGACGUUACCCGCAGAAGAAGCACCGGCUAACUCCGUGCCAGCAGCCGCGGUAAUACGGAGGGUGCAAGCGUUAAUCGGAAUUACUGGGCGUAAAGCGCACGCAGGCGGUUUGUUAAGUCAGAUGUGAAAUCCCCGGGCUCAACCUGGGAACUGCAUCUGAUACUGGCAAGCUUGAGUC